AUACGGAGGGUGCAAGCGUUGUUCGGAUUUACUGGGCGUAAAGAGAGUGUAGGUUGUUUAUUAAGUCGGAUGCGAAAUCCCGGGGCUCAACCUCGGAACUGCAUUCGAUACUGGUAGACUAGAGUUCGGGAGGGGUAAGCGGAAUUCCGUGUGUAGCAGUGAAAUGCGUAGAUAUACGGAGGAACACCUGAGGCGAAGGCGGCUUACUGGACCGAUACUGACACUGAGACUCGAAAGCGUGGGUAGCAAACAGGAUUAGAAACCCGGGUAGUCC
RNAcentral lists this ribosomal RNA (274 nucleotides) under uncultured bacterium. RNAcentral describes it as "partial 16S ribosomal RNA". It matches the Rfam family "Bacterial small subunit ribosomal RNA", at positions 523 to 796 of the family's 1533-position model. The record is from RNAcentral.